UGAAGCCUUUUUUAGGCAAAUGUUGUAUCCCUACUAAGUGAUGCCCCGUUCGAUGAAGCCUACAUGGACGAGGGUGGACAAGACUUACAGAGGAAGCACAAGAUAUUGUUGUGCUCCAGACACCAAACUUAAACAAACCAGGAAGGCAGCUUUAGCCCCACCAAAGUCAAAGGGAUUUUCACAACCACACAAUCGUUAGCACGAUAAAGGCUUAAAAAGAAGAAUUUUGGAUAAUAAUGUAUUUAUUUUCAACAACUCAUAUCAGCACUGACUGAAUUACUCCAAAACUGAAGCUGAAUAGAAUCCAAUUCAAGAUGCUUUUAUGCUCCUAACAACAUCUUUGCAGUGAAAAAACGCAAUAUGAAAACAGACACUGUAUCGUACAAAGAGGGCCUGAAACUCUGCUGAACUUUUCCCACUAAAGAAUAACAUAGUGAGAUCUUGGAAAAGGAAGUGCUGCCCCCCGUUUCUCCACCUUAGUUUUCUUUUACCAAUUUCUCCUAAAGGCUUAGAGUGAAACCCCUGGAGCUGUAUGCGGAGUGGUGAAAACAGCAGCAUCCUCCAUUUCUUCAGUAUCUUUCAAGCAACAUCUUCUGUUUCUACAGUAUCUACCAAGGCCAUCAGAAUGUUUUUGAGUGGAAAAAGAAUAUGAAUUUUAGAUACUUCACAGACAUCUGAGAAACUGCAGAAGUUGCUCUAGAAACUAAGUAGGGAUUUGAUUUUCAGAGGUUCUGAUCUUCUGCUCAGGAAUUUAGAGCCUCCAGUGCCUCUAAUGAAUUUUAUUCUAAAUUAUUUUCUCAUAAUCACAAAGUCUAUGGCAGAUAAAAGAAUCAUGAUCUUGUGGUCCCUCAGAUGCUGUGAGUGUAAAACUCCACUUGUCCUUAGUGAAGCCCACAGGAUUUUUCUUGCUCACAUGAAGGCAGAAUUCAGAUGUAGGUAUGGGAAGAGAAAGAUAAGGAAAAAUCUUAAUCAAAAUAUAUAAGAAGCAGCUUUUGGAAGUGAUGGUCCUCGACAUCUUAUUUCUAAGCACCAAAUUUUUGUUUCUCCUUAAGAUGGUUUAGAAAAACAAAGCAAUAACUUUACUGGGCCAAAUUCAAUUGGCGAUUAUAUUUGCCUCUUCCACAGCUGCAAGUAACUGCAUCAAUUAUCUGAAGUAUAUUAAUGGAUUAGUUAAAACAAAACACAAUUGGUAAUAACUAUAAAGCCAAAAGCCUUUUGCCUAGUUAAUGUCUGGGCAGAUACAUUAAGUUACUGAAAAACAAGUGAGACAUGGAAAAACAUAAACUUAAAUAUGUAGCAUCCUCGAACAAUAUGCUUAUUGCUUAUUAAUUUUACUGAAGUGGUAUUACUGAUUAGUUUAAUAGAAAACAUCAUGAAUGAAAUUAUCAUAAACAGAAACCUAGAGUAAAUCCCUCAGCUACCUAGUUUUCUAUACUUGAAAAAAUAAAAUGAUUGACUGUGGGCUGAAAAAUGUAUGGCAGACUACUGACAGCAAAAGGAGCAUUUGAAAUGUGUCCUUUGUCCAUAAUACCAUUUCAGUAUAGGCAGCUUCUUGUUCGGUAUGAGCUGAUGUUUCUGGACCAUGCAAGAUACAAAAUUAUUAAAAAUUCUGAAUUAAAGUGUUUGCUUUUUUUUUUCCCAAGACAGAGUGGUAUCAGUAGUGGGGAUUCCCUGUGUCCAUUUGAAUAGCAAUUCAAUUAAUUGUUGCUAUAGAGAGGAUUUGUUGCAUGCUGGCCUCUUUAUAGAAUCAUCUAUGAAAUUGAGAUAAUUUUUUUUUUUUGCUUCACCCCCAGAAAGGUUUGUUUAUUUGGUGAAACCCAAAUCUGACUUUUUAUUCUGUUGUCCCUUCUGUCCUU
This is a long non-coding RNA of Aquila chrysaetos chrysaetos, 1856 nucleotides long. RefSeq lists it as uncharacterized. The transcript has 3 exons. The record is from RefSeq and is a predicted model, not a curated record. Lineage: Eukaryota; Metazoa; Chordata; Aves; Accipitriformes; Accipitridae.